GAACGUUAAAUAGAUUUACCUAUACUCGGUUACGGACCGGGGAGAUGUUCGUUUUUAG
Molecule: transfer RNA, 58 nt
Filed under: Pseudoterranova decipiens sensu lato Germany
Lineage: Eukaryota; Metazoa; Nematoda; Chromadorea; Rhabditida; Anisakidae
Description: tRNA-Arg
Source: RNAcentral